GACGAACGCUGGCGGCGUGCUUAACACAUGCAAGUCGAGCGGUAAGGCCCUUCGGGUACGACGAGCGGCGAACGGGUGAGUAACACGUGGGUGACCUGCCUCUAGCUCUGGGAUAAGCCUGGGAAACUGGGUCUAAUACCGGAUAUGACUCCACGGCGCAUGUUGUGGGGUGGAAAGCCUUGUGUGGCUAGAGAUGGGCCCGCGGCCUAUCAGCUUGUUGGUGGGGGAUGGCCUACCAAGGCGACGACGGGUAGGCCGGCCUGAGAGGGCGACCGGCCACACUGGGACUGAGACACGGCCCAGACUCCUACGGGAGGCAGCAGUGGGGAAUCUUGCGCAAUGGGCGAAAGCCUGACGCAGCGACGCCGCGUGAGGGAUGACGGCCU
This 386-nucleotide ribosomal RNA is filed under the name uncultured bacterium. RNAcentral's name for it is "bacterial SSU rRNA". It matches the Rfam family "Bacterial small subunit ribosomal RNA", at positions 28 to 417 of the family's 1533-position model. The record is from RNAcentral.